Molecule: microRNA precursor, 157 nt
Filed under: Pelobates cultripes (western spadefoot toad)
Lineage: Eukaryota; Metazoa; Chordata; Amphibia; Anura; Pelobatidae
Source: RNAcentral
GCAGACACAUUCCAGCCAAUCAGCAGCAGACCCUCCCUCCCACACCCUCCCACCUCCUGGACAGCAUCCAUUGUGAAGCUGCAUUCUUAGUGAGCUGUCCAGGAGAUGGGAGGGUCUGGGAGGGAGGGUCUGCUGCUGAUUGGCUGGAAUGUGUCUG